RNAcentral lists this long non-coding RNA (1488 nucleotides) under Setaria viridis. RNAcentral's name for it is "long non-coding RNA (SVIR_LNC003898)". The record is from RNAcentral. Lineage: Eukaryota; Viridiplantae; Streptophyta; Magnoliopsida; Poales; Poaceae.
GUGCUACAAGCGGUAAGAGUAAGGCUAAUGGUAACGCCUCCAGGAGGCCCAAAGAGAAAGAUGAACAGUAGCAGCAAUCCUGAAACAAUGAGACCAAAAAAACAGCGGCGCAACUCUGCGCGCACGACACACGAACUGGCGAUCUGGCAAGAGUUAUUCAAGAUGUCCACGGAUCGGUGUAUACUUCUGCUGCGCUUGGUGUGGCUCUUACAGGUACUUGAAGAUCAGGCCACCGUGGGUAGCGAAGAAGGGGGCGAACACAAGGGACUCCACGGCCAUGAGCUUGAUGAGGAUGUUGAGGGAUGGGCCAGAGGUGUCCUUCAGGGGGUCACCGAUGGUGUCGCCGAUAACGGCAGCCUUGUGGCAGUCUGAUCCCUUGGGGCCCAGGGUCCUUGCGUGCUCGCUGGCACCAGCCUGAAACAAACAAGGUAAAGUUGAGGACAAAGUUAAUCACUGACCAUAGAUACUGACUCGUAUUAUCCAGGACUUUUUCAGAGCCCUUACCUCAAUGUACUUCUUGGCAUUGUCCCAUGCACCACCAGUGUUGGAAGCAGAGAUGGCAAUCUGCCAAGAUUUCAAACGUCAUAAACCAUUCAACCAGUUAACACACAAAAGUAAAUACACAGAGCAACAGGAAGUGAUACGCACCUGCACUCCAGAAACCAGGGCACCAGCAAGAACACCAGAGAGGGUCUCCACACCAAAGAGGGUUCCAACAAUGAGGGGAGUGAGCAUGACCAGAGCACCUGGGGGGAUCAUCUCCUUGAUGGAAGCAUCGGUAGAGAUCUUGACACAGGUAGCGUAGUCAGGCUUGCCAGUUCCCUCCAUCAGACCAGGAAUGGUGUUGAACUGCCUGCGGACCUCCUCAACCAUCUUCAGAGCAGCACUUCCAACACUCUUCAUGGUCAUGGCAGAGAACCAGUAUGGAAGCAUGGCUCCGACAAUCAAGCCAAUGAAGACCUUGGGGGACAGGACAUCGACAACCUUCACUCCAGCUCUGCUGACAAAGGCACCAAAAAGGGCCAGGGACACAAGAGCAGCUGAUCCAAUGGCAAAUCCCUGCAAGAGGAUACAAAUGAAAUAAGUUCAACAAUUUCCUUGUUAAACAUCUAAUAGAAUCGAAUCGACUUGAGCCAACACAGAAUACAACUUUACCUUUCCAAUAGCAGCAGUGGUGUUGCCAGCUGCAUCAAGAGCAUCAGUUCUCUCACGGAUUCUGUGGCUCAUUCCAGCCAUCUCAGCAAUGCCACCAGCAUUAUCACUAAUGGGACCAUAAGCAUCAAUAGCAAGGCCAGUUGCGAUUGUGCUUAGCAUACCAAGGGCGGCAACUGCUAUGCCGUACAUUGCAGCAAUAGAGAAACUGACAUAGAUGCUGACAGCAAUGGCGAAAAUUGGGAUGAUAACUGACUUGUAUCCUAGAGCCAGACCGAAAAUCACAUUGGUGGCAGCACCAGUUCUGCAGGAAUCCGCAACAUCUUGCACAGGACU